Molecule: ribosomal RNA, 325 nt
Filed under: uncultured eukaryote
Lineage: Eukaryota
Description: partial 18S ribosomal RNA
Rfam family: Eukaryotic small subunit ribosomal RNA
Source: RNAcentral
CCCUUAGAUGUUCUAGGCCGCACGCGCGCUACACUGAUGCAUUCAACGAGCCUAUCCUUGACCGACAGGUCCGGGUAAUCUUUGAAUCUGCAUCGUGACGGGGAUAGAUUAUUGCAAUUAUUAAUCUUCAACGAGGAAUGCCUAGUAGGCGCAAGUCAUCAGCUUGCGUCGAUUACGUCCCUGCCCUUUGUACACACCGCCCGUCGCUCCUACCGAUUGGGUGUGCUGGUGAAAUGUUCGGAUCGGCCGUUUGUCGCGGUUUCCGCGUCAUGUGGCUGAGAAGUUCAUUAAACCCUCCCACCUAGAGGAAGGAGAAGUCGUAACA